Molecule: non-coding RNA, 509 nt
Organism: Salvia hispanica
Lineage: Eukaryota; Viridiplantae; Streptophyta; Magnoliopsida; Lamiales; Lamiaceae
Source: RefSeq, a predicted model, not a curated record
AAGUAAUGACAUGAAGUCAUAUGUCUAUAUAGUGUAAUUGAUACCCGAUUCGGUUCUAAAUUCGGAAAUGAAGUUCUGCUCUUCUAGCAAAUCUCUUAGUAUUUAAAUUGAUUUGAACUCAUGCUUUUACACUGCUCAAUGGUGGCUUGCUAAUUACUUGCAUGUGUCUAUCAGAUGACGGAGACAACAAUGACUUUGAUGAUGAUUUUUGAUGGGGUACAGCUUGGAAAAUGGGAAAGGACAGCCAAAAGCCAAGUAGGUGACAACGACAACGACAGCGAUGAUCAUAGUUUUGAGGUCCAGAAGAAAGCAGUGUUCAUGUUAUGAAAAAAAUAGGCAUCAGGAUGCUUCAAUUAGCUACAGAACAAUCCAAUUAGCAAUCGUAAAUUCUAUUUUCCCUAGUUUAUAUUGACAUUCUGGGAUUUUUUUUUUCUAUUCGAAUUUAGUGAAAGGAUGUGUGGUGGAUGAUGGGAAUAUGCUGGAUAUAGAACUUUCAAUUCUUUGUGUUA